UAAGGAAUAUUGGUCAAUGGGCGCAAGCCUGAACCAGCCAUGCCGCGUGCAGGAAGACGGCCCUAUGGGUUGUAAACUGCUUUUAUCAGGGAAUAAACCCCCGCUCGUGAGCGGGGCUGAAGGUACCUGAAGAAUAAGCAUCGGCUAACUCCGUGCCAGCAGCCGCGGUAAUACGGAGGAUGCAAGCGUUAUCCGGAUUCAUUGGGUUUAAAGGGUGCGCAGGCGGAUUGGUAAGUCAGGGGUGAAAUCCCACAGCUCAACUGUGGAACUGCCUUUGAUACUGUCAGUCUAGAGUAGAGUUGAAGUGGGCGGAAUGUGUCAUAUAGCGGUGAAAUGCUUAGAUAUGACACAGAACACCGAUCGCGAAGGCAGCUCGCUAAGCUAUAACUGACGCUCAUGCACGAAAGCGUGGGGAUCAAACAG
This 423-nucleotide ribosomal RNA is filed under the name uncultured bacterium. RNAcentral's name for it is "bacterial SSU rRNA". It matches the Rfam family "Bacterial small subunit ribosomal RNA", at positions 355 to 775 of the family's 1533-position model. The record is from RNAcentral.